RNAcentral lists this ribosomal RNA (82 nucleotides) under Planomicrobium sp. CPCC 101110. Its description in RNAcentral is "Bacterial small subunit ribosomal RNA". It matches the Rfam family "Bacterial small subunit ribosomal RNA", at positions 1 to 82 of the family's 1533-position model. Lineage: Bacteria; Bacillati; Bacillota; Bacilli; Caryophanales; Caryophanaceae. The record is from Rfam by way of RNAcentral.
AUAAUGGAGAGUUUGAUCCUGGCUCAGGACGAACGCUGGCGGCGUGCCUAAUACAUGCAAGUCGAGCGGAACCCGGGGAGCU